CCUUGUCAUUUAGAGGAAGUAAAAGUCGUAACAAGGUCUCCGUUGGUGAACCAGCGGAGGGAUCAUUACCGAGUUUACAACUCCCAAACCCCUGUGAACAUACCUUAUGUUGCCUCGGCGGAUCAGCCCGCGCCCCGUAAAAAGGGACGGCCCGCCGCAGGAACCCUAAACUCUGUUUUUAGUGGAACUUCUGAGUAUAAAAAACAAAUAAAUCAAAACUUUCAACAACGGAUCUCUUGGUUCUGGCAUCGAUGAAGAACGCAGCAAAAUGCGAUAAGUAAUGUGAAUUGCAGAAUUCAGUGAAUCAUCGAAUCUUUGAACGCACAUUGCGCCCGCCAGUAUUCUGGCGGGCAUGCCUGUUCGAGCGUCAUUUCAACCCUCAAGCCCAGCUUGGUGUUGGGAGCUGCAGUCCUGCUGCACUCCCCAAAUACAUUGGCGGUCACGUCGAGCUUCCAUAGCGUAGUAAUUUACAUAUCGUUACUGGUAAUCGUCGCGGCCACGCCGUUAAACCCCAACUUCUGAAUGUUGACCUCGGAUCAGGUAGGAAUACCCGCUGAACUUAAGCAUAUCAAUAAGC
This 577-nucleotide ribosomal RNA is filed under the name Fusarium culmorum. RNAcentral's name for it is "eukaryotic LSU rRNA". The stretch from base 217 to 370 matches the Rfam family "5.8S ribosomal RNA". The record is from RNAcentral. Lineage: Eukaryota; Fungi; Ascomycota; Sordariomycetes; Hypocreales; Nectriaceae.